Molecule: ribosomal RNA, 501 nt
Filed under: uncultured bacterium
Lineage: Bacteria
Description: partial 16S ribosomal RNA
Rfam family: Bacterial small subunit ribosomal RNA
Source: RNAcentral
AUUGAACGCUGGCGGCAUGCCUUACACAUGCAAGUCGAACGGCAGCACGGGUGCUUGCACCUGGUGGCGAGUGGCGAACGGGUGAGUAAUACAUCGGAACGUACCUUAUCGUGGGGGAUAACGCAGCGAAAGCUGUGCUAAUACCGCAUACGCCCUGAGGGGGAAAGCGGGGGAUCGCAAGACCUCGCGCGAUUAGAGCGGCCGAUGCCUGAUUAGCUUGUUGGUGGGGGAAAAGCCCACCAAGGCGACGAUCAGUAGCUGGUCGGAGAGGACAAUCAGCCACACUGGGACUGAGACACGGCCCAGACUCCUACGGGGAGCAGCAGUGGGGAAUUUUGGACAAUGGGGGCAACCCUGAUCCAGCAAUGCCGCGUGAGUGAAGAAGGCCUUCGGGUUGUAAAGCUCUUUUGUCAGGGAAGAAACACCGGCUCUAACACAGUCCGGGAAUGACGGUACCUGAAGAAUAAGCACCGGCUAACUACGUGCCAGCCGCCGCCGUAA